AAAAAAGGUUCUCUAACAUUGAUAUUCUUUACUACCAACCAAAACAAAAACCAAUGUAACAGGUAGUAUCAAAUAGGAUCGUGUCAAAGGUAGUCUGGACAAUUUUACACUACCGGUACGGUGCACCUAGAACAGGAUACAGCAGAGCACAGAUUAUAUAGCCCUUAGGAUGAACAGCAACCAGCUUUCUUGACAUCAGAUACUUCUUUACCUAUAUCAAUCUUUUCUCCUUUGGAAGGCACGUUUCCGUUUCCAUUCUCACCAUUUUCCAUGGCUUUUCUACUCACGACGUGGUAGAUUUGAGUGAGAACUUCAGCAAAUGCAUUCUCAACAUUUGUAGAUUCGAGGGCAGAAGUUUCCAUGUAGUAGAGGGAUUCCUUCUCCGCAAAAGACUUCCCGUCCUCAGUUGACACUGCAACCAGAUGUCGUAGAUCAGAUUUGUUUCCGACAAGCAUGACAACGAUGUUGGGAUCUGUAUGAUCUCUCAACUCCUUAAGCCACCUCUCAACAUUUUCAAAU
RNAcentral lists this unclassified non-coding RNA (519 nucleotides) under Hevea brasiliensis (rubber tree). Lineage: Eukaryota; Viridiplantae; Streptophyta; Magnoliopsida; Malpighiales; Euphorbiaceae. The record is from RNAcentral.